Molecule: ribosomal RNA, 632 nt
Filed under: Listeria monocytogenes
Lineage: Bacteria; Bacillati; Bacillota; Bacilli; Caryophanales; Listeriaceae
Description: bacterial SSU rRNA
Rfam family: Bacterial small subunit ribosomal RNA
Source: RNAcentral
GGCUAAUACCGAAUGAUAGAAUGUGGCGCAUGCCACGCUUUUGAAAGAUGGUUUCGGCUAUCGCUUACAGAUGGGCCCGCGGUGCAUUAGCUAGUUGGUAGGGUAAUGGCCUACCAAGGCAACGAUGCAUAGCCGACCUGAGAGGGUGAUCGGCCACACUGGGACUGAGACACGGCCCAGACUCCUACGGGAGGCAGCAGUAGGGAAUCUUCCGCAAUGGACGAAAGUCUGACGGAGCAACGCCGCGUGUAUGAAGAAGGUUUUCGGAUCGUAAAGUACUGUUGUUAGAGAAGAACAAGGAUAAGAGUAACUGCUUGUCCCUUGACGGUAUCUAACCAGAAAGCCACGGCUAACUACGUGCCAGCAGCCGCGGUAAUACGUAGGUGGCAAGCGUUGUCCGGAUUUAUUGGGCGUAAAGCGCGCGCAGGCGGUCUUUUAAGUCUGAUGUGAAAGCCCCCGGCUUAACCGGGGAGGGUCAUUGGAAACUGGAAGACUGGAGUGCAGAAGAGGAGAGUGGAAUUCCACGUGUAGCGGUGAAAUGCGUAGAUAUGUGGAGGAACACCAGUGGCGAAGGCGACUCUCUGGUCUGUAACUGACGCUGAGGCGCGAAAGCGUGGGGAGCAAACAGGAUU